This 495-nucleotide ribosomal RNA is filed under the name uncultured bacterium. Its description in RNAcentral is "partial 16S ribosomal RNA". It matches the Rfam family "Bacterial small subunit ribosomal RNA", at positions 28 to 507 of the family's 1533-position model. The record is from RNAcentral.
GACGAACGCUGGCGGCGUGCCUAAUACAUGCCAGUAGAACGCUGAAGGAGGAGCUUGCUUCUCUGGAUGAGUUGCGAACGGGUGAGUAACGCGUAGGUAACCUGCCUGGUAGCGGGGGAUAACUAUUGGAAACGAUAGCUAAUACCGCAUAAUAGUAGAUGUUGCAUGACAUUUGCUUAAAAGGUGCAAUUGCAUCACUACCAGAUGGACCUGCGUUGUAUUAGCUAGUUGGUGGGGUAACGGCUCACCAAGGCGACGAUACAUAGCCGACCUGAGAGGGUGAUCGGCCACACUGGGACUGAGACACGGCCCAGACUCCUACGGGAGGCCGCAGUAGGGAAUCUUCGGCAAUGGACGGAAGUCUGACCGAGCAACGCCGCGUGAGUGAAGAAGGUUUUCGGAUCGUAAAGCUCUGUUGUAAGAGAAGAACGAGUGUGAGAGUGGAAAGUUCACACUGUGACGGUACCUUACCAGAAAGGGACGGCUAACUACGUG